RNAcentral lists this small RNA (129 nucleotides) under Escherichia coli MS 78-1. RNAcentral's name for it is "sroC RNA". It matches the Rfam family "sroC RNA", at positions 1 to 129 of the family's 163-position model. From Rfam's summary of the family: This family consists of a number of bacterial sroC RNA genes of around 160 bases in length. sroC is found in several Enterobacterial species. The record is from RNAcentral. RNAcentral also lists the same sequence under 1 other name. Lineage: Bacteria; Pseudomonadati; Pseudomonadota; Gammaproteobacteria; Enterobacterales; Enterobacteriaceae.
ACUAAUUACAAGAACCAGGGGCGGAAAUUCCAGCCCUCUCGAUUGUUACGUAGCACGGACAGACUAUACGCCUGAUGGUCGUUCCCCAUCGGGCCUGAAAACCGCAAUACGCUGGGUAACAAUCUUCGA